AAAAAGUUAGUUAAUUAAUAACAUUAAAAUGUCAUUUUAAAAUUAUUAAAAUAUUUUAAUAUUUUUUA
RNAcentral lists this transfer RNA (68 nucleotides) under Oberthuerella sharkeyi. Its description in RNAcentral is "tRNA-Asp". The record is from RNAcentral. Lineage: Eukaryota; Metazoa; Arthropoda; Insecta; Hymenoptera; Liopteridae.